GGGGCGGGAGCGCCGCCGGGUCCCCGCUGGGAGGCGCGGGCGGCGCUCUGGUCCGGAGCGAGGCGGCCAGGCGGACGCAGCAUGGACUCGGUCCCCGAGGACUUCGAGCUUAACGGCGAGCUGCACCCGGGCUCGCUCGACUCCCCGGACGUCCGGCGACCCCGCAGGGGCCCGAACCGGCCCAUCAACGUGAACCAUUAUGCCAACAAGAAGAGUGCAGCCGAGAGCAUGCUGGACAUCGCGCUGCUGAUGGCGAACGCCUCCCAGCUGAAGGCCGUGGUGGAGCAGGGCCCGAGCUUUGCCUUCUUCUUCCCCCUGGUGGUCCUCAUCUCCAUCUCCCUCCUGCUGCAGAUCUGUGUGGGCGUGCUGCUCAUCUUCCUCGUCAAGUACGACCUCAACAACCCUGCCAAGCACGCCAAGCUGGACUUCCUCAACAACCUGGCCACCGGCCUGGUCUUCGUCAUUGUCGUGAUCAACAUCUUCAUCACCGCCUUUGGCGUCCAGAAGCCCGUGGUGGACGUGGCCUCCCAGCAGUAGGGGCUCAGAGCCCUCUGGACCCUCGCUCAUGGCGUGACAACCUGGCCAUUUAUUAACUGCCUGCUGUGUACCCCAAGUAAUCCUGACUCUCCCCGAGCAUCAGCCCAGUGAGGAGGCUACGAGCCCCACGGCACCGGCCCCUGCUCUCCGAGGACCCUGCCAGAGCGUGUGGGGCCAGUCUCUAAAUCUUGACCAUGACCCAGGAGGAGAAACUGAGGUUUGCCCAGAUCCCCCCACAUCGUGCCCAGGAGCCUCCUCACCCUUGGGACCCGCUGCCCUGUGGGCAGCUCUCCCCGAAACCACCAGAGCCCAGGCUGACUCCACUGGACCUAGUCCGGGACAAGCCUCACGUGGUUGGGUCACUCUGGCCGGCGUGGGGCCUGUUCUGUCCUCGGCUGCUUCUCCUCCUGGAGCAUGGGGCGGAGAGCCCCUGGAAGGUUCAUGGCCACCACGGACACAUGCAGGCCCGAGGAUGGGCAGCAAGGGGCCGGGGCCACCUCGGUCUCAGGAUGUUUCCAGAGGGACAAGGAGAUGCCGCUCACUCUACCAGCCUCCUGUGUGGCCACUGUGGGUCACCCGCAACCUCCGUGCUUCCUGACCCAGGACACUGGACCGCCAGGCCCCCUUGGUCCCCGCAGUGGCCACAGGCCCUGCACAUACUCUCCACCAGCAGUGACUGGGCAGGACCCCAGCUCCUCCUCAGGGGUCCAGGCCCCCACUUUUCUAAGCAUGAACGACCAGUAAAGCUGAUGCUCCUCCUCGGC
Molecule: RNA transcript, 1301 nt
Organism: Equus caballus (horse)
Lineage: Eukaryota; Metazoa; Chordata; Mammalia; Perissodactyla; Equidae
Gene: NINJ1
Gene name: ninjurin 1
Source: RefSeq, a predicted model, not a curated record